Long non-coding RNA from Syngnathoides biaculeatus (alligator pipefish), 443 nucleotides. RefSeq lists it as uncharacterized. Lineage: Eukaryota; Metazoa; Chordata; Actinopteri; Syngnathiformes; Syngnathidae. The transcript has 3 exons. The record is from RefSeq and is a predicted model, not a curated record.
UAUAAGACUGCCUGUUCCUGCAGCUCUUCAUCAAAGUACUGCAGCCUCUCACCACAGCCCACCUUACUCAACACCUGAUGGGUCACUCACAAGGACCAUUCAAGGCCUCUGCACCCUGAACCACGAGAUGAGGGUGAACACAUCAGCCUGGUCUGAGAGAAAACCAGGUGGUGGCAUCCUCCACUCCCAGGCGUUGCCGUGAAGACGAACGACACCAGAUAAGGAGCGGAAAGUUACCAUCCCAGCCCAGGACCAGACUGCGGGGAGGGCAGCCACUUUUACCAUGCAGCCAUACAUAUAAAAACCUUGUGUUACCGGGAAGCUCUUGUCUUCUUCUUGGGCUAUCCUGCCAGAAGACACAUGUCUCGUGUGCGGCAGAUACCUAGAUAAGAACCGGACAUCUGUAUUGCACAUUAUUUUGUAAUAAAUCCAUUUGAUGUUAA